RNAcentral lists this unclassified non-coding RNA (395 nucleotides) under soil metagenome. RNAcentral describes it as "partial contains 5.8S ribosomal RNA, internal transcribed spacer 2, and large subunit ribosomal RNA". The stretch from base 1 to 122 matches the Rfam family "5.8S ribosomal RNA", at positions 35 to 154 of the family's 154-position model. The record is from RNAcentral.
GAUGAAGAACGUAGCGAAAUGCGAUACUUGGUGUGAAUUGCAGAAUCCCGUGAACCAUCGAGUCUUUGAACGCAAGUUGCGCCCGAAGCCAUCAGGUUGAGGGCACGUCUGCCUGGGCGUCACAUAUCGUUGCCCAAUGCCUAUUGCAGUGCAAUAGGAAUUUCUAGGGCGAAUGAUGGCUUCCCGUGAGCGUUGUUGCCUCGCGGUUGGUUGAAAUUCGAGUCCUUGGUAGGGUGUGCCAUGGUAGAUGGUGGUCGAGUUAGAACGAUACCGAUCAUGUGCAUGCUCCCCAAAAUAUGGCCUCUAUGACCCACACGCGUCUUUUGACGCUCAUGACGAGACCUCAGGUCAGGCGGGGCUACCCGCUGAAUUUAAGCAUAUCAAUAAGCGGAGGA